RNAcentral lists this ribosomal RNA (468 nucleotides) under uncultured bacterium. RNAcentral describes it as "partial 16S ribosomal RNA". It matches the Rfam family "Bacterial small subunit ribosomal RNA", at positions 28 to 507 of the family's 1533-position model. The record is from RNAcentral.
GACGAACGCUGGCGGCGUGCUUAACACAUGCAAGUCGAACGGUGAAGCUCCAGCUUGCUGGAGUGGAUCAGUGGCGAACGGGUGAGUAACACGUGAGCAACCUGCCCCAGACUCUGGAAUAAGCGCUGGAAACGGCGUCUAAUACUGGAUACGAGAUCAAGCCGCAUGGUUAUGGUCUGGAAAGUUUUUCGGUUUGGGAUGGGCUCGCGGCCUAUCAGCUUGUUGGUGAGGUAAUGGCUCACCAAGGCGACGACGGGUAGCCGGCCUGAGAGGGCGACCGGCCACACUGGGACUGAGACACGGCCCAGACUCCUACGGGAGGCAGCAGUGGGGAAUAUUGCACAAUGGGCGAAAGCCUGAUGCAGCGACGCCGCGUGAGGGAUGACGGCCUUCGGGUUGUAAACCGCUUUCAGCAGGGAAGAAGCGAAAGUGACGGUACCUGCAGAAGAAGCACCGGCUAACUACGUG